GUACCCGGAAGCGGCUCGGGCGGGCGCAGGGUAGGGGGUGUAGGGUGGCGGCGCUCCGCCUUUCACCGACGCAGCUGGGAGAAACAGACCGGAGGACGCGGGUGGCGCGGAGCACGAGAAACAACGAGUUUCUGUCUAGAUCGUGGGAGACCCAAGCCCGGGGUUCCGUCCAAGGUCGGGGAUGGAGAGGACGCGACCCCCGCGGCAGUCGAGAUGGCCUUUUUAAAAUUCUAUAUUUGAGAAGGAGUCUCGCGCUGUCGCCCAGGCUGGAGCGCAAUGGCGCGAAAUCGGCUCAUUGCAGCCUCGACGUCCGGGACUCGAGCGAUCCUCCCGCCUCAGCCUCUCGAGAAGGUGGGACCACCGGUGGGCACCGCCACGCCCGGCUAAUUUUUAUUAAUGUUUUGCUACAGCCGGGAUCUUGCUGUGUUGUCUGGCUGGUCUUAAACUCCUGGGCUCCAGCGAUCCUCCCUCCUCGGCCUCCCAAAGCGCUGGGGUUACAGGCAUGAGCCACACUGCGCCUGGCCAAGCUAGUGCAUUUUAAUUGACUUUCACUUCAUGUCAAUUUAUUUUUUACACUAUUCCAUUUAGUCCUCAGAACAGUUCCUUAGAAUUGGGUAUUGCUCCGUUUACGUGGGAAACAUAGCAGCGAGGUAACGGGCUGGGUCCCGUGCUGGGAACGGGAGCCCUGCUCAUCUGACUGCUUGCACCCUGUGCUGUCUAUGCUGGGCGUACUGGGGUGCGUUAGGGAAGAGACCACAGGUACGAUGCAAUGCCUGUCCUCAAGGAGCCCAUUGUUCUCAUGGGAACACAAAGCUGACACAUCGAGAACAAACUAUGGAACAGGCUGUGGCUGGGGGCCAUGAAGGAAGGCUGCCAAGUCGGGGCCCAGCCAGGUAGCAGCCACACCUCUAUCUACCCUGUUCCCCAACACUGGGCACCAGCACUCGCCUGCCCAGGACCCGCAGUGAAAACCCAGCCACAAAAAAAUGCACUUUGGAGAAGAGUAGCAGGUCCCAGGCAGAGCCAGGGCCACCUCUCAGAAAGGACAUCAAGUUUCUUGCCCAGCUGAGAGAUGGACAGAUGACCGCACAAGCCACUCACAGCCCAAGGUGAUAGACUCUAGGAUAUAUUCAAGGCUGAGCAACUGGCUUCAAGUCGUGUCUACUUACAUAUUCAAAGACCUAUUGAGCAUUCACAAGUCAUUCUUUUUACCCUCCAACUAGCCGUGUUCUCAACCAGUCUACCUAGGAAUGCUGUUGGCUGUGAAAACUCCAGAGAUGAAAACUCCAGAGGCUGGUAUCUUUAGAGUUCCUUCAGGGUGCGUUCAGCAUCUGAGCCUAGCGACUCUUGAGGUGAAAGUGCUGAUCUUUUUUUUUUGGUGAGACAGUCUCACUCUGUCACCCAGGCUGGAGUGCAGUGGCGCAAUCUCAAAGUGCUCAUCUUUAUGUACUUUGGAUGCCGGUGAAUGCCUGUUGUUUCAGCCAGCUGGAUCACUUUACCUGUUAACCAUUCCAACGACCCUCCUAAGGAAGCAAAGACCCAAAGAAGUGACGAAACCUAUGUGCUUUUGCAGGAGGCUGAACAAAGAGGCAGUUGUGGAAAAGUAAACCGUGUGGGGAGGCUUAAGAACGACAGGAAUUACUUUAAUUACUUUAAUGUCUGUACAGAAUUCUGUCGGCUAUGGACGUGCUUCCCUGUAGAGGAAUCUUUCUUUGCCCGGUACAGGGAAGGCAUCUUUCACCUGAGCGUUUUUAUCUCCUGUCUUCAGGAAGAAAAGGAGAGAUCCGAUGAUGCUCUUGCCUGUGCCAUUUUUCAAGUGCCUUAGGUAGAAGUGAUUCUUAUGUCAAAGUGGCAGAGUGAGCCACCCUUCGAUCCCAAUGGAAACGUCCUAAAAGGUGUUGACAGUGAACAGUUCCCCUUCCCCCCCGAUGCCAGAGCCUAGUUCUCUGCCCACUUGAAACCAUGAUUAUGGGUUUCCUAUCACAAUUCUGUAGACUUUUAUACAAAAAGAGUUUUAUCUAUGAGAAAAUAUUUUUCAGUGAUCCUGUUCUUCACACCAAUUAAACCUGACUGUUCCC
RNA transcript from Pan troglodytes (chimpanzee), 2078 nucleotides. RefSeq lists it as uncharacterized. Lineage: Eukaryota; Metazoa; Chordata; Mammalia; Primates; Hominidae. The record is from RefSeq and is a predicted model, not a curated record. The transcript has 2 exons.